Megalobrama amblycephala (Wuchang bream) is the source of this 1291-nucleotide long non-coding RNA. RefSeq lists it as uncharacterized. The record is from RefSeq and is a predicted model, not a curated record. NCBI's taxonomy places the organism in Eukaryota, Metazoa, Chordata, Actinopteri, Cypriniformes, Xenocyprididae. The transcript is spliced from 8 exons.
CGAGGCGCUUUUAAAGGGAAAUGUUUGAACUCCUCAGGGACCUCUUCGCCUUUCUGUGACCUCUUAUAGAAACCUAGAGAAUCCAGCAAGCUGCUGAUCUCGUCUGCCUUCAUCUUCUUCACUGGAACAACCUGAGGAGUUGAGGCCAUGGAGCAGCUGCAUCUGUGUCAGAUUCUCCCACCGUCUGCUGAUGAAUAACCAGUGAAGUCAGAACAUAACAGCUGCUGUUUGAAUAACGCUCUGAUGAAGCAGUGUUAAAAGUUGAUCUUUACUAGCUCGCUUCAGAAAGAGCCCAAGAUGCUGAAGUCUCUGUCUAUGGGCGGGAAGAUGUAAGGGCUUUUUCAGAUCUUUCGAUCUAAUGGAUGAAACAAGCUAGCGCAAUUCACAAAUGAACACGCACAGAGACAAAGAAAAACAUCAGCUAUCGUUUCUGCUCUGUCAGCCGCAAGACCACACCGAACACUGGCUGAAAUCGCUACCAGAUGUGGAUGCAAUCUGUCCCUGUUGCCAUGACAACCGCUGAGUUCUGAACAGGCGUGUAGCUGCGGGUCCACUGACUGAUGUUCAGUGACUCUGAUGGUCCUGCUGUUUCUAUGGACCUGCCACUUUUGAGAGGUUCCCAACCAGUGCCACAUCUGCCAUUGGUCAGGCAAACAGAGAGCCCCGCCCCAAACUCACGCCAUUGGUUGAGCCAGAAUUUGAUAUGACAAACACAAACAACUCAACACAGCAAUGAUUUGAAAGAGCCACAGAGAGGAAGCAGCAGCACAGCAGAGACAGAAGAACCACCAGCAGGAAUGUUACCAGCGUUCCCGCAGCUAUUACUCCCAUCCGCUGAUUAGGAUCUGAGAGAGACAGAUGGAGAGUGUAAAAUUUGCAAUAUAAAAAUGUCAAUAACACGCGUUUCUAUCCAGUUGUCUCAUUUAACAGCUUUUUUCAGGAGAGAUGGAGGCUGUUCAGUGAAAACAUGGCUGCAGUAGGAGGCCAAAGUACAACUGAGGUGUGCAGAACAACAGGCUCACAGAAGUGUUGAGCUCAGUCCGGGUGUAGCGUGUGGUGCGGGGACAUCCACACACGUCCUGAAAGCACAGCUGCGUUUGAGGAAGGCCUCACAAAGUAUUUCUCUCAGCUGUGUGAAACAACCCCGGCUCUCACUAACUCUGCGAGCAGGCAGGAAAAGAGCCAAAAAACACAGCCGUAAAAAUAAGACACCACUCUGGAAACACCAUCAAGGCCGCCAUGUUAAACUGCUGCUGUCUACAGCAGUGACCUACAUAGUGAGGACUACGCA